RNAcentral lists this transfer RNA (73 nucleotides) under Mycobacterium phage Rey. Its description in RNAcentral is "tRNA-Ala". The stretch from base 11 to 64 matches the Rfam family "tRNA", at positions 9 to 63 of the family's 71-position model. Rfam says of the family: Transfer RNA (tRNA) molecules are approximately 80 nucleotides in length. Their secondary structure includes four short double-helical elements and three loops (D, anti-codon, and T loops). Lineage: Duplodnaviria; Heunggongvirae; Uroviricota; Caudoviricetes; Vilmaviridae. RNAcentral also lists the same sequence under 1 other name. The record is from RNAcentral.
CGGAAUGUGCAGCCUAAUGGUAAGGCGGGGAGUUCGCGACUCCCGAUCCAGGUUCGAGUCCUGGCGCUCCGGC